This 500-nucleotide ribosomal RNA is filed under the name uncultured bacterium. Its description in RNAcentral is "partial 16S ribosomal RNA". It matches the Rfam family "Bacterial small subunit ribosomal RNA", at positions 30 to 523 of the family's 1533-position model. The record is from RNAcentral.
AUUGAACGCUGGCGGCAGGCUUAACACAUGCAAUUCAAGCAGAGAGAGGUAGCUUUCUACUGAUCUUAUCGGCGGACGGGUGAGUACUGUUUAGGAAUCUGCCUAUUAGUGGGGGACAACAUUUCGAAAGGAAUGCUAAUACCGCAUACGUCCUACGGGAGAAAGCAGGGGAUCUUCGGACCUUGCGCUAAUAGAUGAGCCUAAGUCGGAUUAGCUAGUUGGUGGGGUAAAGGCCUACCAAGGCGACGAUCUGUAGCGGGUCUGAGAGGAUGAUCCGCCACACUGGGACUGAGACACGGCCCAGACUCCUACGGGAGGCAGCAGUGGGGAAUAUUGGACAAUGGGCGGAAGCCUGAUCCAGCCAUGCCGCGUGUGUGAAGAAGGCCUAUGGUUGUAAAGCACUUUAAGCGAGGAGGAGGCUACUUUAGUUAAUACCUAGAGAUAGUGGACGUUACUCGCAGAAUAAGCACCGGCUAACUCUGUGCCAGCCGCCGCCGUAA